UACGUAGGGUGCAAGCGUUGUCCGGAAUUAUUGGGCGUAAAGAGCUCGUAGGCGGUUUGUUGCGUCGAAUGUGAAAACCCGGGGCUCAACCCCGGGCCUGCAUUCGAUACGGGCAGACUAGAGUUCGGUAGGGGAGUCUGGAAUUCCUGGUGUAGCGGUGAAAUGCGCAGAUAUCAGGAGGAACACCGGUGGCGAAGGCGGGUCUCUGGGCCGUAACUGACGCUGAGGAGCGAAAGCAUGGGGAGCGAACAGG
This 253-nucleotide ribosomal RNA is filed under the name uncultured bacterium. Its description in RNAcentral is "partial 16S ribosomal RNA". It matches the Rfam family "Bacterial small subunit ribosomal RNA", at positions 524 to 776 of the family's 1533-position model. The record is from RNAcentral.